This 592-nucleotide ribosomal RNA is filed under the name uncultured bacterium. Its description in RNAcentral is "bacterial SSU rRNA". It matches the Rfam family "Bacterial small subunit ribosomal RNA", at positions 338 to 944 of the family's 1533-position model. The record is from RNAcentral.
CCUACGGGAGGCAGCAGUGGGGAAUCUUGCGCAAUGGGCGAAAGCCUGACGCAGCAACGCCGCGUGCGGGAAGAAGGCUUUCGGGCUGUAAACCGCUUUCAGCAGGAACGAAAAUGACGGUACCUGCAGAAGAAGGAGCGGCCAACUAUGUGCCAGCAGCCGCGGUGAUACAUAGGCUUCAAGCGUUGUCCGGAUUUAUUGGGCGUAAAGAGUUCGUAGGCGGUCAAGUAAGUCGGGUGUGAAAAUUCUGGGCUCAACCCAGAGACGCCACCCGAUACUGCUUAACUUGAGUUCGAUAGGGGAGUGGGGAAUUCCUAGUGUAGCGGUGAAAUGCGCAGAUAUUAGGAGGAACACCGGUGGCGAAGGCGCCACUCUGGAUCGAUACUGACGCUGAGGAACGAAAGCAUGGGUAGCAAACAGGAUUAGAUACCCUGGUAGUCCAUGCCGUAAACGGUGGGCACUAGGUGUGGGUUUCUAUUAACGAAAUCCGCGCCGUCGCUAACGCAUUAAGUGCCCCGCCUGGGGAGUACGGUCGCAAGCUAAAACUCAAAGGAAUUGAACGGCUGAGACGUGCGAGCGACACGAGGAGAGG